Molecule: ribosomal RNA, 253 nt
Filed under: uncultured bacterium
Lineage: Bacteria
Description: partial 16S ribosomal RNA
Rfam family: Bacterial small subunit ribosomal RNA
Source: RNAcentral
UACGGAGGGUGCAAGCGUUAUCCGGAUUUACUGGGUUUAAAGGGUGCGUAGGUGGGCAGGUAAGUCAGCGGUGAAAUCUCCGAGCUUAACUCGGAAACUGCCAUUGAUACUAUCUGUCUUGAAUAUCCUGGAGGUGAGCGGAAUAUGUCAUGUAGCGGUGAAAUGCUUAGAUAUGACAUAGAACACCAAUUGCGAAGGCAGCUCACUACGGGGUCAUUGACACUGAGGCACGAAAGCGUGGGGAUCAAACAGG